AGCUCCAAUAGCGUAUAUUAAAGUUGUUGCAGUUAAAAAGCUCGUAGUUGGAUUUCGGAAUGGGCCCGUCGGUCCACCGCAAGGUGAGUUACUGACUGGUUUGUUCUUCUUCGCAAAGACUGCACUUGCACUUCAUUGAGUGGGUGUAGGAUUUACGACGUUUACUUUGAAAAAAUUAGAGUGUUCAAAGCAGGCUAUCGCUUGAAUACAUGAGCAUGGAAUAAUGGAAUAGGGCUUUGGUCCUAUUUUGUUGGUUUCUAGGACCGAAGUAAUGAUUAAGAGGGACAAUUGGGGGCAUCCGUAUUUCGUUGUCAGAGGUGAAAUUCUUGGAUUUACGAAAGACGAACAACUGCGAAAGCACUUGCCAAGAGUGUUUUCAUUAAUCAAGAACGAAAGUAGG
Molecule: ribosomal RNA, 400 nt
Filed under: phytoplankton environmental sample
Lineage: Eukaryota
Description: partial small subunit ribosomal RNA
Rfam family: Eukaryotic small subunit ribosomal RNA
Source: RNAcentral